RNAcentral lists this ribosomal RNA (395 nucleotides) under uncultured Sphingobacteriales bacterium. RNAcentral describes it as "bacterial SSU rRNA". It matches the Rfam family "Bacterial small subunit ribosomal RNA", at positions 986 to 1382 of the family's 1533-position model. Lineage: Bacteria; Pseudomonadati; Bacteroidota; Sphingobacteriia; Sphingobacteriales. The record is from RNAcentral.
UGUAGAGUGCAUUUUUUAGAGAUAGAAAUUCCCUUCGGGCUUUCUGCAAGGUGCUGCAUGGUUGUCGUCAGCUCGUGCCGUGAGGUGUCGGGUUAAGUCCCAUAACGAGCGCAACCCUUAUCGUUAGUUGCCAUCUGGUAAUGCAGGGGACUCUAGCGAAACUGCCACCGUAAGGUGAGAGGAAGGUGGGAUGACGUCAAAUCAGCACGGCCCUUAUGUCCAGGGCUACACACGUGUUACAAUGGUCGGUACAGAGGGCAGCUACCUGGUGACAGGAUGCUAAUCUCGAAAAACCGGUCUCAGUUCGGAUCGAAGUCUGCAACUCGACUUCGUGAAGCUGGAUUCGCUAGUAAUCGCGCAUCAGCUAUGGCGCGGUGAGUACGUUCCCGGGCCUU